Molecule: long non-coding RNA, 654 nt
Organism: Alosa alosa (allis shad)
Lineage: Eukaryota; Metazoa; Chordata; Actinopteri; Clupeiformes; Clupeidae
Exons: 3
Source: RefSeq, a predicted model, not a curated record
CUCAUUUGCACGACCACACUUGAAGCUGUUCAAGGGUCCUGGAGUGUUGCAAACAUUUUUGAGGCAAGCUGACACCAUGAUCUAUCAACGCUUCAUGCUUCUGGCACUUGUAGUGCUCCUGUCCAUCACAUAUGAUGCCAAUGCCGCUGUUGCAUUUCCCUGGGGCUGUACCGACUACAAAGGCGUCUGCAGACGCUUCUGCCUCCCUGCAGAAUUCCCAUUUGCAAUCUUCAAGUGCGGAGGUGCUGGAUUUAUAUGCUGCCUCUCACAUAUUUAAACAACAUGGAGAGUCACAUACUCUCAGUUAGUAGUCUCGCUUCAUUUUGAAUACUCUUGUGAUUCCAAUAUACCAAGGGGACCCGAUCGGCACAUGCGCCAGUGUCAGCAGGCCUUCCUGUACACAUGUCCCCUCCACUGAUGGAUUAGUUCCUUACUGAUGUCCCAGGCAUGCGGGGCUGCAGGAGUAAACUCAUUUAAAAUAUAUUUUCUUUUUAACUACCUCUUCUUUAAAGACAAAAAAAUCCCCGAAACUGUGACAAAAGAGUGUACUGUGAAUGCACGAUUGAGCUUUACAGUUACAAAAUUCUCCUUUUAAAAAAAAUAACACAUGAAGUAACAAAUGAAACAAUAAAAGCAAACUAUAAUUCAAGUUCA